UCUGAGCAAACUCUGGGAGAUGGUGAAGGACAGGGAAGCCUGACGUGCUGCAGUCCAUGGAGUCGCAAAGAGUUGGAUACAACUGAGCGACUUCACUUUCCUUUAGCAACUGAACAACAACAAGCCGUGAGGGGUGGCUGCUGGAGGGAAAAUUCCCUCUGCUCCCAUUCCUCUUCCUGCAGAGCUCAGAGCACUGACCUGGACACUGUGCUACAGAAACCCCAAGAGUGAUUGGCCAGGCCUUGGAAAUAAUACGCUUACUAGUCAGAGUCACGUCCGCUUACCCAGAUCACGGCAUUUCUGUGGUUCCCGGCACCGAGGGGGAGAAGAUGUUGUCUUGGUGGCGAUAUCUCAUCCAGAACUCCUAUCACUUUUGUGGAUCCUUUACCACUGAGCCGCCUGGGAAGCUCCUGCAAAGGGAGAUACUCACUGUCAUAAAAAGGUUUGCCUUCUGCUUAGGGAUCUCUCACUUGGGUGAUAUAGACAGUACUAGAGAGCACCGUGGCGGAAUUGAAUUGGGAAGGGACAGUAAAGAAACAACGAGGAAACAAAUUGGGAAACAGAGUAUUUCUGAUGUUAACUGGAGCUAGCACCUCUGACUCAAGAGGUGGUUUGCAGGGGCCCCGGUCAGGCCUCUUCAGAGCGGGCGUGGCGGUGAGCUGCAGGCAGUGUUUUGAGAAAAUCUGAGCAGUGGUGGAGAGGGCUUCCCCGACCCUGUUCUCUGCUUUGCUGUCAAUCCUGAGCAGUGAUAAGCAUGUGGGCUGCUGGGCGCGUGAUGCUUAGAAACACCCUUCCUCAGGGGAUCCCCAGCUAUUCAGGCGGUGUCUCUUAUGCUUUGGAAAAUCAAAACAAGUGAAGAAUCAGGAAUGUUCUGGGAAGAAGAAACAGCGAUUGCAUAGUCUGUAACCUAGGGAAGAUUUUUAUGUGUUUGGGGAACUGAAAGACCAGUAGGGAGAGAGAAGAGAGAGCACAGGAGGGGAGCGGCUGGUCGUGGGGGAGAGAGCUGGGCUGUGGGCCGGUGGAUGCGGGUCGUGGGAGGGAGCUUCAAUUUUUAUUGUCAGUGUGUAGGUAACCCAGGGCCUUUAAGCUGGAGAAUUGCAAAGGAUGUGAUAUGUAUUUACUCAACCUUUAGGAAGAUCGCUAAGAAACUUCCAGACACUCUCUGAAAUGAUAAGCUAUUGAAAGUCCUCAUCGAUGUUUAGCCCAGGAUCUGCGGGGUAGGCUGGGGUACAAGAGACCCAUCCAUCUGCUUACAGUAUCCCGUCCGCUGGCCGCACAGCAUCCCAGAUGUCUCUCUUCAGCACCUUCUGGUGUCUAUAGGUCUUUAUUCAAAAUUGAGCUUCUCACGGUUUUCAAGAGGAUGAGGCAAUAGUCUAUAUUCCUGGCCCCUGGAUAUUGAAGAGGAAGGUCACAAAAUGAAAUUUCACCUUGGAGAUUUUGCUGAAUUAGAAAGCUCUCCCAAAUGUAACUAAACCGGAGAGAAUGGAGUGAUCUCUUUAAGAAAUCUUCAAAAUGACAAUAAAGUUCUCUCCAGGUCGUUUUUCUCCAAAUCAAGCUGUAACAAUUUGUAGGACUUCCUGGUGGCUCAGCCGUGAAGAAUCCGCCUGCAAUGCAGGAGAUGUGGGUUCGAUCCCUGGGUUGGGAAGAUCCGCUACAGAAGGAAACGGCAACCCACUCCAGUAUUCUUGCCUGGGAAAUCCCCUGGACAGAGGAGCCUGGCGGGCUACAGUCCAUGGGUUUGCAAGAGUCAGACACGGCUUAGCAACUAAACCAUGACCACCAAUGAUGUGUAAGAAAACGACAGACCCUACUCUAAGGCUUCACCUAUUUGAAGUGGGUAAAAUACAGGUAUAUAUCAGUCAGCUGAAGUUUAGUUACGCUGCAGGAACAAAGAACCCCAACUCUGUGUUCACAAAGACAAGGUCCUUUCCUCCCUAAGUUACAGUUUGCAGGCCAUUUGGACUCUGUUUGCUGUUUUUAUCCCAGAACCUCGGCUGAAGGAGCAGGCUCGCCUGGAACACAACAGCUUCACUGUGGAGGGAAGAACAGUGGCGAGAUGACCCAUCAGCUCUGAAGGCUCCUGGCCGAGAUGGCACAGGCUGUGCCAUCUCUCACAUUUCAUUGCCCAAAGGGAAUCAGAUGGUCAAGCCCAAUGUUAGCAGGAACGGAAGAAUAAUUGUUCUGUAGGAACUGGUCUGCAGAGAAGGGCAGUGAAUAUUACGAACAAAUAAUACGGCAUGUAACAAUGCAAUAUUUUGCUCUCUCCAUUUCUUUGAACCAAAUUUCAAGGGGAAAAUUCAGUGACAGUCUUUUAUUAAUAGAACUGAAAACUUUCAGAUACUGCAAUUCAGAAUGUGAUCCAGUCCCUGAAAAUUAGCAUCACACGCAUUCCUUUUGAAGGAUAACUUGUGAAAGUCUGAAACGUGCAGUUUGGAAGUGAUUAGCCCAAUUUUGCUAGAAGAAAAGAGCAUUUAAUAAAGCAGAGUUCUUAGUUUCUAAUCUCAUCUUGUACCAAUUCCUCAAACAUUUGAGACCAACCGCUAGGAGCACUUUUAUACAGAGAAAAGAAAAAAGGAAUCUUGUAUUUCUUUCUUGAAGUUAGGGUGAAUGGGAUGAAAAGACUGUAUUGUUCACAUAAUUUUGGUCAGCGUUAUGUCCACUUAAGAAAAUCUGUAUUGUGUGGUUAGCUAUGGAGAAGGAAACUAUAUUCACCAAGGAGGAAAAAAAAAUCCCAGCCUAGGUAAGUCAAGGAGAAAAGUGAAAGUAGCUCAGUUGUGUCUGACUCUGCGACCCCAUAGACUGUAGCCCUCCAGGCUCCUCUCUCUCUGGGAUUC
Bubalus bubalis (water buffalo) is the source of this 2834-nucleotide long non-coding RNA. RefSeq lists it as uncharacterized. Lineage: Eukaryota; Metazoa; Chordata; Mammalia; Artiodactyla; Bovidae. The record is from RefSeq and is a predicted model, not a curated record. The transcript is spliced from 3 exons.